Non-coding RNA from Camellia sinensis, 3001 nucleotides. The record is from RefSeq and is a predicted model, not a curated record. NCBI's taxonomy places the organism in Eukaryota, Viridiplantae, Streptophyta, Magnoliopsida, Ericales, Theaceae.
UAUAUGAAACAUAUUAUUUAAAAUUAUAUUGUGUUAUAUAUCUAAAAAAUAUUAUACAAAUUAGUAUUAUAUAUUAUGCAGAUGUAUGAUAAUUAGUUAGAAUAUUCUUCAAUCUGCCAAUCCGCCAAAAACCGCCCAAACCGCAAAUUGUCAAUCUGCUAAUCCGCCAACCCGCCAUUCGGUUUGUAAUUUUACUCUCAAAUCGCCCGAACCGCACUGUGCACACCCCUAAUCAAAAUUAAGAUUGUACUAAUUUCAAAAUUGCAACACAAAAAUGAUUGGAUUUAUUUCUUUUUGGUUAGUUAUUUCUGACUACCACUUUUUCUUGUCAAUUUUUUUUUUUGGGUUGUGUCGAAAAUAUAUUUAAGCUCCACAAUCUGUGCGACUGCCUAUUAUGUGGACUUCAUCUUUCUCUUUACUAUUAGAUAGUUUUAUUAACACCUAGGUUUUAAUCAAUGAUGGCUUAAUAAGUGGGAUGAUAAUUACAAAUUGAUGUUAAUGUCUACCUUUGAAAAUGUCUGCCCAAGCAUUCAGCAGUAUUGGGUGUUGUGAUUCGAACUAAAAAGAUAGAAUGUUUACACAGGCAGUUGCAGACAGAUUAAGAGGUGAUUUCAUCAUGUUUGGGUGCUUUUAUUAAAUUCAAUUGCUGCUUUAUGUACACAUGCUUCUUCAUUGCAGAUUGUUUUGUUUAGUACUUUGUGUCGUUAGAUGAGACUGUGCAACCACUGAAAAAAGGAGACAAGAGGUGCACCUGGCAGUAACAAAUACCUCCAACAAUAUCAAUCUGCAUAAAAUUUGGUUGGAGUAUACGAAAGAAAUAUAACUGGAACAAGGUUGUUUUUUGGGCAAACAGAAACAUUUUGGCCAUUUCAAUGGAAACAAAAUUAGAUUUUGUUCCUUGCUUCUAAAAAUGGUCCUUAUAUUGAAGUUUUAUUCUGCAACCAUGAGACAGUGGGCGUCAAUAUUGAAAACCAACUGCGGACAAUGGGUGCCGAUAUGAAACAACUCUGUCAAAAUUCAUGCAUGAUGUGAUGCCUUCAUUUUCACUAGAUUUCAUGGAAGGGGUAGCUCCUGAAUUAUCUCCUCAACAAAAUUAAAAUGUUAAUCUCACAACUCAUGAAAGCUCAAUGAUUGGUGUUGACAUUGACCCUAAGAAGGGACUUUGCAACAAAAACUCUUUGGCCCAUCAAUAUUGUAUAGAACCCAUGGAAGAGAAACAUAAUGAUUUAUUGUCGAAGAAAAAGGAUGAUAUUGGUACGAGUGAAAAGUGAAAUGUGAGUGUAGUGAAAAAUGACACAGCGAAGAAACCGUUCCCAAUCGAGAUUCUAGUAGUAGUUGAUACUGCAGAGAAAGAUUCAAGCUUGGCAUCAUUAUUUUGCUGAGUCAAACAAUCUGAUGAUGAAAGAUGGGAUGAUCAAGAGGAUUUGUCAACACCAGUAUCACUAGAUGGAUAUCACUCUUGUGUGAAGGAAGCAGAAACGACUAACCAUGUAAAUGCCACAGCUGACAAGUCAAAUGUCCUGCCAUCAGCUAAUUCAGUUAUUUUAGUUGAGUCCUGCCAAUGUAGAGUUUCAUAUACUGUACUUACUUCAGGGGAUGCUUUCUCAGCAAUAUCAAAUGAUUCUGUUGGCUUGGGAUAGAGCUAUCCAAUAAAGUUUUUGAAUCAGAAGAUUAUGUUUCCAUUAGAAUCUGGUAACUUGUUAUUUCUGUUUUUUCUCAUGUAUUUUGAUUUUUGUUUUUUGAAAUAUUGGAGCCCAAGAUAAUUGUGCCGAGAGGGGGGGCUAUGAAUAGGCCAAUUUCAAGAAUUAUCUCAAGAUUACCCAAUUAAUUUUGAUGAUUCAAAUAAAAUUGUGAUCACAUUGGAAAAUCCAAAUAACUUCGAGAUGGUAGACACAUCAAUUAACUUGGAGACCCUCCAGGAAAACUCUCCAAGAGGGGAAAGCCAUGGUCCCAAUACUCAGCAAAAUCUACUACAGGACACACAGGAAGGAUUAUAACCAAACCUUGGUUAACCCUAUCUCUGAAGUCUUGACAUGCUCCACAAGCACAACCUUGCCCAGUUCGCCUCGUUUGACUUGAUUGAAUAGCACAAAGCUUCAUUCCUCGACCUUCAUACACCGACAACUUUGUUAACCCAACGACCAGGAGUGAGAGGACAAUGCAAUGCAGGAUUUUUUAAGGUUUUUGUUUUUGAUCACUCACUCAUUGUAGUGAUGAGUUUGUAGAAGUUGACAGAAGUUUGGAAUUAAGUUUAGGUGAGGGGACUAUGAAGCCUCAUUACAAGCGACCAUUUUCAGAGUAGCAUUACAUGGGGCCCAAUUAUGGUUACAAAAUUAGUGGUUUUAGGUAUUAUACCUAAACAAAAUUAGUUAGCUUAGACCUGGUAAUUAUUCAAUAUUCCACUAGCGUUUCGUGUUGUUGAUUCAAGAAAUAGAAACAUUUUGGCCAUUUCAAUGGAAACAAAAUGAGAUUUUGUUCCUUGCUCCUAAAAUGGUUCUUAUGUUGAUGUUUGAUCCUACAAUCAGGAGGUAUUUGUCCAAACUUUGAUAGACCCAUUUAUGCAAAUCAUUUUGUUGUUUUGCUGCUCAUUUUCAAUUGUUUGUUUAAUUAACCCAAAGCCGCUUGGGUGCUUGCUUGCUGAUUUUAUUCUUCGGGUAAUAUAUAUUGUAAACUUCUUUUAGGUUCUAUGAAGCUUCAUUUUUUUCUCACGUCAGAAGAUUUCAUUAUGGAAAACUUGACCUUCUUUUAUUAUUGAAUGAUUAAUUGUUGAGCAUUUGAUUGGAUUGAGAUAUAUUUUUCACUUGAUCAAUUUAACUUGGGUUGUGGAUUUAGUGCCCCCUUUUUUUUUUACCCCCCCUCAAAAGUAACUUCUCUUGCAUUACAAAAAUCGUUCCUUCCAAUCAAAUAAAGCUGUAGAUAAUUGAUAGUACCAACAAAAAAAGAAAAGAGAAACUAGUACUCAAAAUCAAUGAGGGAAUAGAUUGCUAAAAAAAAAAAAAAA